RNAcentral lists this long non-coding RNA (3806 nucleotides) under Sus scrofa (pig). RNAcentral describes it as "lncRNA (ENSSSCG00025054554.1)". The record is from RNAcentral. Lineage: Eukaryota; Metazoa; Chordata; Mammalia; Artiodactyla; Suidae.
CAGCCACAGCAACAUGGCAUGUAGAAGUCCCCAGGCCAGGGAUCUAACCUGAGCCACAGCAGUGACAAUGCCAAAUCCUUAACCACUAGGCCGCCAGGGAACUCCUGUCACUAGUCGUUUUGAUGAUAGCCAUUCUAGCAAGUGUGAGACUAUAUCUCGUUGUUUUCAUGUGCAUUUUCCUGAUGAUUAUGGUGCUGAGUACCUUUUUUGUAUUGCUGACCAUGCGUAAGUCUUUAGAAAAAUGUCUCUUCAGGUCCUUUGCCCAUUUUAAAAACCAGAUUAUUUCCUCUUUUGCUAUUGAGUUGUAUGAGUUCCUUAAAUAUUUUGGAUAUUAAUCACUUAUCAGAUAUUCGGUUUACAAAUAUUUUCUCCAGUCUUUAGUUGCCUUUUCACUUUGUUGAUCUGUACAGGUCCUGAAAUAUGAGUAGGAGCUUUUUUUCAGGCACAGACUGAAGGAGAGACAUACUUUGGGUGUCCUACUGUUUCUAUUAUAAAUCAUUAAUCAUAAUUUGCAAGUGAUAUUUCUAGUUUGAUAAAAUUAAGUGAAACAAAAAUGUAACAGUUUCAGUACACUAUUUGUUACUAGUGUUAUGAUCUGGUGAGUCAUAUAGAUAAUAAAUUAUUUUCUUUCUUUUUCUUUACUUCCCUUUUUUUUUUUUUUUCUCUGCUUUUUAGGGCCAAGCCUUCAGCACAUGGAAGUUCCCAGGCUAGGGGUUGAAUUGGAGCUGCAGCUGCCAGCCACAACCAUAGCCACAGCAACAAAGGAUCUAAGCCGCUUUGGCAACCUACACCACAGCUCAAGGCAACACCAAAUCAUUAACCCCUGAGUGAGGCCAGGGAUCAAACCCAAAUCCUCAUGGAUACUAGUUAGGUUCAUUAUUACUGAGCCACAUCCAGAGCUCCUGGUAACAAAUUAUUUUCUUCUGAAGUAUCUUAUGGCUUCUUAAAUCCUGUGAAAGUUUUUCAAAGCCCUUUUGUCAGAAAGACAUAAAUAACUAGUUUAACAAGCAGUCUUCCCUCAAUACAGAAUAAACACAAAGCUUAUAUUUUUCUAAAUGACUUCAAUUCUUCUAUCCAAUCCCCCUGACUCAUCUCUUAAGGAUAUCCCAGUCAGAUCCCAGCUUUCGAAUCAUAUUCAGUUAUUUAAAUUACAGAUAUAACUGAAUCACUUUGCUCUACAGCAGAAAUUAACACAACAUUGUAAAUUAACUAUACCUCAAUUAAAAAAAAAUUCAGCCUCGUUUGACCUAUUUCUGCUCACUCAAGUGCCCCUCCUCCCCAAAGUUAGCCAGUUUGUGGCCUCUGGGAUUGAAAUGGAAAGUAAAGCUCUGUUCUUUUUUUCUUUGUCAGACAUCGUGCCAGACAAGUAUAGUAGGAUCUUCUUACUGCCAACUGUACUGUUUGUUUACAGAAGUCAAUAAACCCAUUAACAUUUUUAUUACCUACCGUUGUAUAUCAUCAACAUUUCAUAAUUAGAAGCAUGUGGUUGCCUCUUUAUAACUUUACAACACUGUUCACUUAAAUAUUUAUUGAUUACUCACUCUGUGUUAAAUACUGUUUUAUAGGUCAAACCAUAGCACAAGGGAAACAUUUGGUUUCAUUUGGCUGUAUUAUAUUUUUUAAGGUUCCCAGGCUAGGGGUUGAAUCGGAGCUGUAGCCACUGGCCUACGCCAGAGCCACAGCAACAUGGGAUCCAAGCCAUGUCUGCAACCUACACCACAGCUCACGGCAACGCCGGAUCGUUAACCCACUGAGGAAGGGCAGGGACCGAACCCGCAACCUCAUGGUUCCUAAUCGGAUUCGUUAACCACUGCGCCACGACAGGAACUCCAGGUCUGAAUUUCUUACCCAAUUCAUUUGUGGCAAAUGUAAGAAAAAUAUUUUUUGAUUUUUAGGGUCUUUGGGAUUUGAGAAAUUUGGUAAAGGACCUAGCAUUAACAACUAAGUUAUAUUACCUAUCCCAUAGUGGUCAGAAUCAUCUUUACUUUGGGAUCUAGAAUUUCAAACAGAAUUCAAAGGAACAUUUUUCAUGUAAAUUUUCCCUACCAGUUACUUGGCAGAAUUUAACACUUACUGAUAUUAUUUGACAUAACCAAUUUCAUUUCAUCUGCUUCACAAAAGGUCUUUUAAUUGAGUUUUCAUUUCAGAGUUCCCCAAAGACAUUUUAAAUCAUUAUGAAAUUUCUGCUAGCCCCUCGAUACAAAAGCUUUUGAUUCACACUUAGAUUUUAUCUUAUACCAUAAAAUUUCAAAAAUCAUAUAAAAGAUUCCUAAACCUUAGUCAUUCUGGUGCUGUAAUCUGAGAAACUUUGUCACAAAAAGUAUCAUUCAGAUUUUACUGCAGCUAACAUACAGUCCUUCAAAUAUCCGUGGCUUAAGCAAUAAAAGCCGAUGAGUAUGUACUUAGCUUAUAGAGAUGUAGUUUGGAAAAGACUUUUGGGAAAGCAAUUAGGCAUCAUGAAUCUAAUAUUAAACAUAUUUAUAGCCUUUGACACAGUAAUCUUGUUUUUGAAUAUAUCAUAAGGAAGAAAUUAGAAAUGAAAGUAAAGAUACAUGCACAAAUAUGUUCCUCAAAAAUGUUAAUUAUAAUAGCAAACAAUUGGGAAAAGCAAAAAGUUUACUGAAAUAGAAUGAUUCAAUAAAUUGUAAACAAAUUAGACAAAAAUAAAUCAAAAGACAUCCCGUUUAUAGAUUGUAAGAAUAAAUACUGUUAAAAUGUCCAUUCUAACCAAAGUAAGCUACAGAUUCAGUUUAGUCCCUAUCAAUGGCUACAACAAAUCAUCUUAAUGUACCCUUAAAGUAUCUUAUAAUUUUAUUUGUCUAUUAUAGUUCAAUAGAAAUUAAUUUUAAAAAUCUUUGCCAUGGGUUUAGUGGGGUGAGAAAAUGACACAAAAUCACAUGUACUGUAAUUAUAUUUUGUUUGUGUCAUUUAGGGAGACCUAAAUGGCUCUUUCAGACUCAGUACAUUGAAGUUGUUUAGUAAAAUAGAAAAAAAGCCUUAUAAUUCAAAAGGAACCAUAAAGGACACUAAAUUGCCAAAAUAAUCUUGAUAAUGAAGAAUUAAAGCUGGGGCCCCCACAUUUUCUGCUUUCAAAACCUAUUGCAAAGCUGCAGUAAUCAAAACAGUAUAGUUCUGGCAUAAAGACAGACAUGUAGACCAAUUGAACAGAAUAGAGAACCAAGAAAUAAACCCUUACAUAUACAUUAAAAUGAUCUUUGAUAGGAGAACCAAGACAUAUUUAGUACAAUGGGGAAAGGAUAGUCUCUUCAAUAAAUGAUGAUGGAAAAACUGGAUAUCCAAAUCCAAAAAAAUGAAAUUGGACCCUUAUAUCAAUCCAAAAAUAAACACGAAAUGGAUUAAAGUCUUAAACAUAAGACCUGAAACUAAAUUCAGAAUUCCUAUUGUGGCUCAGUGGUAAUGAACCCAACUAGUAUCCAUGAGGAUGCAGGUUCGAUCCCUGGCCCUGCUCAGUGGGUUAAGGAUCUGGUGUUGCCAUGAGCUGUGGUGUAGUUCACAGACACGACUCAGAUCUGGCAUUGCUGUGGCUGUGGUAUAGUCUGGCAGCUGCAGCUCCAAUUGAACCCCUAGCCUGGAAACUUUCACAUGCUGGGUGUAGCCCUAAAAAAGAAAGAAGGAAGGAAUGACGGAAGGAAGGAAGGAAGGAAGAAAAAGAAAAAGCUAAAUAAAAUUCCUGAAAUAAAAUUUAGGGGAAAUGGAGUUCUCUUGCAGUACAGAGGGUUAAAGAUUCGGAAUUAUCACUGCAGUGGCCUGAGGAACUUCCACAUGCCCCAAGCACAGCCAAAAAA